UAGGGAAUCUUCCGCAAUGGGCGAAAGCCUGACGGAGCAACGCCGCGUGAGUGAUGAAGGUCUUCGGAUCGUAAAACUCUGUUAUUAGGGAAGAACAAAUGUGUAAGUAACUAUGCACGUCUUGACGGUACCUAAUCAGAAAGCCACGGCUAACUACGUGCCAGCAGCCGCGGUAAUACGUAGGUGGCAAGCGUUAUCCGGAAUUAUUGGGCGUAAAGCGCGCGUAGGCGGUUUUUUAAGUCUGAUGUGAAAGCCCACGGCCCAACCGGUGAGGGUCAUUGGAAACUGGAAAACUUGAGUGCAGAAGAGGAAAGUGGAAUUCCAUCUGUAGCGGUGAAAUGCGCAGAGAUAUGGAGGAACACCAGUGGCGAAGGCGACUUGCUGGUCUGUAACUGACGCUGAUGUGCGAAAGCGUGGGGAUCAAACAGG
RNAcentral lists this ribosomal RNA (429 nucleotides) under Actinomycetes bacterium. RNAcentral's name for it is "Actinobacteria bacterium partial 16S ribosomal RNA". It matches the Rfam family "Bacterial small subunit ribosomal RNA", at positions 355 to 776 of the family's 1533-position model. Lineage: Bacteria; Bacillati; Actinomycetota; Actinomycetes. The record is from RNAcentral.